CCUACGGGAGGCAGCAGUGGGGAAUAUUGCACAAUGGGGGAAACCCUGAUGCAGCGACGCCGCGUGAGUGAAGAAGUAAUUCGUAAUGUAAAGCUCUAUCAGCAGGGAAGAAAAUGACGGUACCUGAGUAAGAAGGCACGGCUAACUCCGUGCCAGCAGCCGCGGGAAUACGUAGGGGGAAAGGGUGAGGCGGAUUUACUGGGUGGAAAGGGAGCGUAGACGGCAGUGCAAGUCUGGAGUGAAGGGGGGGGGCUCAACCCCCGGACUGCUCUGGAAACUGUACGGCUGGAGUGCAGGAGAGGUAAGUGGAAUUCCUAGUGUAGCGGUGAAAUGCGUAGAUAUUAGGAGGAACACCAGUGGCGAAGGCGGCUUACUGGACUGUAACUGACGUUGAGGCUCGAAAGCGUGGGUAGCAAACAGGAUUAGAUACCCCAGUAGUC
This 440-nucleotide ribosomal RNA is filed under the name uncultured bacterium. RNAcentral describes it as "partial 16S ribosomal RNA". It matches the Rfam family "Bacterial small subunit ribosomal RNA", at positions 338 to 795 of the family's 1533-position model. The record is from RNAcentral.